This 73-nucleotide transfer RNA is filed under the name Bacteroidales bacterium. RNAcentral describes it as "tRNA-Phe". It matches the Rfam family "tRNA". From Rfam's summary of the family: Transfer RNA (tRNA) molecules are approximately 80 nucleotides in length. Lineage: Bacteria; Pseudomonadati; Bacteroidota; Bacteroidia; Bacteroidales. The record is from RNAcentral.
GGCGUCAUAGCUCAGUUGGUAGAGCAGAGGACUGAAAAUCCUUGUGUCACUGGUUCAAAUCCAGUUGAUGCCA